Molecule: long non-coding RNA, 281 nt
Filed under: Ananas comosus (pineapple)
Lineage: Eukaryota; Viridiplantae; Streptophyta; Magnoliopsida; Poales; Bromeliaceae
Description: long non-coding RNA (ACOM_LNC018745)
Source: RNAcentral
UUUCUACUGAUAUAUAAAGUUAUAUGAAAUUAGUAUUAAGGAAAAAAGAUAUUGAGAGGCUAAUUUUAGUAUGUGUUUAUCUAUUUAUUUAUUUUUUUUUGAGAGAUAGGUAGCACGUUACCUGCUUCGUUUAUUUUAUUUAGAAAUAAACUUAGAUAGAAAUGUGUUUAUGUAUUUACGUUACCUGCUUCGUUUAUUUUAUUUAGAAAUAAACUUAGAUAGAAAUGUGUUUAUGUAUUUGUGAUUUUAAUACUGGUAUUUGAUUUAUCUUUGAAUCAAUA